CCUACGGGAGGCAGCAGUGAGGAAUAUUGGUCAAUGGACGAGAGUCUGAACCAGCCAAGUAGCGUGAAGGAUGACUGCCCUAUGGGUUGUAAACUUCUUUUAUAAAGGAAUAAAGUGAUGCACGUGUGCCUUUUUGUAUGUACUUUAUGAAUAAGGAUCGGCUACCUCCGUGCCAGCAGCCGCGGUAAUACGGAGGAUCCGAGCGUUAUCCGGAUUUAUUGGGUUUAAAGGGAGCGUAGAUGGGUUGUUAAGUCAGUUGUGAAAGUUUGCGGCUCAACCGUGAAAUUGCAAUUGAUACUGGCAGUCUUGAGUACAGUUGAGGUAGGCGGAAUGCGUAGUGUAGCGGUGAAAUGCUUAGAUAUCACGAAGAACUCCGAUUGCGAAGGCAGCUUACUAAACUGCCACUGACAUUGAUGCUCGAAAGUGUGGGUAUCAAACAGGAUUAGAUACCCGGGUAGUC
Molecule: ribosomal RNA, 460 nt
Filed under: uncultured bacterium
Lineage: Bacteria
Description: partial 16S ribosomal RNA
Rfam family: Bacterial small subunit ribosomal RNA
Source: RNAcentral